This is a long non-coding RNA of Cicer arietinum (chickpea), 719 nucleotides long. RefSeq lists it as uncharacterized. The record is from RefSeq and is a predicted model, not a curated record. Lineage: Eukaryota; Viridiplantae; Streptophyta; Magnoliopsida; Fabales; Fabaceae.
CUAAAUUUAUAAUAAUGUUACCACCAACCAACCAUAUAGAUAGUACAUAUUUGUUAAUUUACUCCUUUCUCUAUAUAGUAUAACAUCUCAUUGAGGACAUCUUUACCCUGUAUCUUCUAUUUCUAAAAUAUGGAGCAAGAAAAAGAAAAGAGAAAGCAAAUUACAAGAGAAGAAAGUGAACAAGAGAAAUGGGUUCAUGAUGGCUCUGUUGAUUUCAAAGGCAGAGUUCCUCUUCGUGCUUCAACUGGUGUAUGGAAAGCUUCUCUCUUUGUCCUCAGUUGGUGACUCUAGGCUGUCCUAAGGCCCAUAUUCCUCAUAGUCAUCGGCGUAGUAAUCAAUUUCAUAGUUUACUUUACGAGGCAUGGUUUUCGCAGCACACUGAGCACAAAAAAAAUAAAAGAACAAUAACAUAAAUAAUCGAAAAGGAAAAUAAGCAGAUUGAAGGAAAAAAAAGCUGAAGAAACUAAGCACACAAUAAAACAUGAAUUCGUACAUGUGCUGUAUAGAAUGAGUAUGGUAUAAGCAGUUAACAGAGCCGCAUGUGAAUGAAGCAGUCGCUUCAAUGUUGGUCUUUAACACGAAAGAGGGGAAUUGCAAAACCUAAUUGCUGAAAAGAAAAGCAAUGGAUCGAUUGAGAGAAAGUAUAUAGUGAAAUGGAAGAAACAAAAUGGGGUUCGUUUGGUUAGUAGGAAAGCUUAAAUCGAAAUCGGGAAACGAAA